RNAcentral lists this long non-coding RNA (451 nucleotides) under Equus asinus (donkey). RNAcentral's name for it is "lncRNA (ENSEASG00005026902.1)". Lineage: Eukaryota; Metazoa; Chordata; Mammalia; Perissodactyla; Equidae. The record is from RNAcentral.
CAGCUGGAAGCCUGAAAUGGAACUCACGCCACUGAUUCUAUCAGAAACCAAGUUCUGGAGUCUGUAAUGUUCUUCUGAUCAUUUUCACUGAUGGAUGAUCCUUCACAACAAGAUUUGGGAGAUUUAUGCAGUUAUGAUGAGAACCAGUAUAAACUUUCAAGGUGCUUCUUUUCUAAGGAACUCUAAAACUACUUGCCAUUUUGAUGAAGACUCAGUCCUGUGGGUGCAAGUCCAUGAAUCUCUCUGGUAGAGUUUGUGUUGAGAGCACAUGCCUGGAUGGACAGAACUCCCUCUUCAAAGAAAAGACUUUGAAAGCAAGAAUGAAGUUGGACAACUCUUCAAAUGGUUUCAGAAUUAGCCCUGGAAUAAGAUGAUAGAGAUCGUACAACUGGGUCUUACUGUUAAAUGCUGGUUGGUACAUGUAUGCAAUAAAGUUAAGGUCUUCUUGGCA